This is a long non-coding RNA of Musa acuminata AAA Group (dessert banana), 3536 nucleotides long. RefSeq lists it as uncharacterized. The record is from RefSeq and is a predicted model, not a curated record. The transcript has 5 exons. Lineage: Eukaryota; Viridiplantae; Streptophyta; Magnoliopsida; Zingiberales; Musaceae.
CGCCGACGUCAAUGUGGCCCUGCUUGACCACCUCACCGCGGAGCCGGAGCUCAACCUGGUGAUCUACUGCAUCGAGCUCAGCGCCGGUUUCGCUGCGGACGGAUACUCCUGUGGAUCUCACCUUCACCGUUGGCGUAGCCGGCUCCUGGGGCGACAACCUCACCCGUCAUCUGCGUCGUGGGAGGGCACAACUCCGACGACUAUGGCACCAGCCGCAUCCUCCUCCAUACCAUCGGCUUCUCCGAGGAGGUGGUAUAUAAUUUGGACUGGACAAUGAUCCACACGGCGAUCUCGUCGGACUUGAAGCAGAGCUUGCCCGUGUACUUCAAUCGUCAGCAUCAGCCGCAGCUUGUCGGGGAUCCACACCUACCUUCGUGAUCGAGCACAUUGCAUACUUCCUCGCGCCCAAGUAGGUAGCCUUGGACAUUCUGCUAAAUGCUAAUUUGAUAUCUUGGUACAGAGGAUAAUAAGCCAGAAUCAUUUUAGUUACUAUUUUGUUCGAUUUCUACGUUUGGACACUGAUGAUUACUAAAGCAUGUGGAAUCAACCGAUCGUUUCUUUUCAAUUGCAAGUGUUUGAUCAGAUUACCUAAAGUUAUAUUCAAUCUCAAUGCUUGUGAUUGCAAGUCGCAUUUAACUUUAUGUUUAUCUGUCUAACUGUUGAGCGUCUCUGUCGCCUUUGCUUACUGUUAUCCUCCUAAACUACAGAAGUAUGCGCUUUCCUGUUCUCUGAACAUUUGCCUGUCAUCUUCUAUCAGUAUUAAUAUUCUUGAAUUCAUCUCCAGGUCUAAGUCAUUUGUAUUCUACAAGCAAACAUAGUUAAUACUUAAUGCAAUAGUCUACCUGGAAAAGUGCUACAAAUUUCAGUCUUUCCUGUGGAGCUGAAUUGUACAGUUAGAUGGUUGAUAGUUUCUUUAGCUCCUGGCAAUGUGUGCACAUGGUUGUGUGCUCACUCUGCAUGGGUGUUUCAUCGAUAUCUAACAGUGGUCUAGUUUGUCAUCAGUAGAAUUUAACAUGAAUUCGAGAGUCAAUUACGAUAUUAAUAUCUAUUGACAAUCUUUCCAUGAAAAUGUCAGAGGAAUCUGAUUAAGUACAAUGGCUAAUGGUUUUAACUAAUAUGAAAAAUCUAAGUAAUUGAAAAUAUAUAUACUGUCAAUUAUUUGUUGUUAAAUUGAACAGGUCUGUACUGACAGAGUAUGCUCAAGUUAGAUUGUGGGUAUGUGUGUGUGUGUGAAUAGGAAAUAAUGAUUGCCAUUUGUUUCUGCAUAAUAUAUCUGCCUUAUAGAUCUUUUCUUGCUUGUAUAUUGUGAAUUCUAUCAGCUUUCCACUUUCAGGAUAUGGGAAACUUGGAAUGGAUGAGAAGUUUCUCUUUUAUGCAUGUUGUUAUCAUCAUUUUUGAAUUUUCUAAGCACAAAAGCUAACUCAUUAGUUAGUUCUCUGAUGCUGUCAAUUUUUGGUUACGGAAUCGUUGCAGUGUAAACUGUAUGUGAUUGUGGUAGAAUUUAAUUUUAUGUAUCAUUCCUUCAGUUUUGCAGCAAUUUUAGGUAGGCAAUACAGUUCCGAGUACUGUUAACUGAUAUGCCCGGUAAGAGAUCACUGAAUAAGCUCUGUGACAAAGACUGAUGUCCUGAGAGUCUUUGUAGACCCAAACAUCUACAUCUUUAGAUACAAUCAUAUGUGCAUUCUUGAGGACUUGAUACCAUUGAGGGCUGAGGCUGAGCUGCUAAUAGUUAUGAUCUGAAUAUGAUUGCUAUAGGCAAUAUUCUUGAGACCUUUAUUUUACUUCUAAUUUGUAUGUAAUUAUCAUACAAAGGCUGUAAAGCCAUUGUUAGUUGCAGGACUGAAACUGAGGGUAGCCAAAGCCCAGCAGGCCUUCAUGGAGCUAGCAGAUGCAUGUGAGUAUCCAAUAGCCAUUAUUGCAUCAGCUAAAGGUAUGGUACCAGAUCACCGUCCUCACUUCAUUGGUGCUUAAUAGUUGUACCAUAAGUACCAACUUCUGUGGUGAUAUUGUGGAAUCAGCUGAUGCAAAUGUGUUUGUUAGGCCAAUAUUUAAUGACUUAGCUGUGUGGGCUAUUCCAUGCUGAGAAGAAGCAAUGAUUGGACAGCCUGACCGAAUUACUAUUGAUAUUGGUCUGUCCCUUUCAUGGCGGACGUUUUAACUGCAUCUCGGAAUCUCAGGAAGAAUAUGACUGCUUCAGUUAAUUACUGGUGUAUCUACGGCCUUCAAGCAUACCUCUCAAAUGGGAGAAUAAUGAGCCUUUAUGGGUCAAUAUCCUUUUUUAGCACAUUCAGGCAAGUUUGCCAUUAUUAUUCUUGCUAUCAAAUCAUAUUUCAUUUAUUUGUUUUUCCCUUAACAUGAUUGAAAUCUAAAUUUUAUUUUUCAGUCAAAUACUAAUUUCAUUUCAGGUAAUAUACCCUCCUAUAUCAUUUGGUAUCAUUAAGAAAAAAAAAGAGCACCAACCGUUACCAACUUAUAUUGGUAUGACAUCAGUCCUUGGUUGCAAAACACCUUUUAUUUUGUUCUUCUUCUUCCUUCACUUUUUUGAGGGGUUGACUACUUCAGUGACAAUCAAAACUUUGUUGUGUAUAGCUAAUUUUGACAAAAAGUACAUAAUUGUUGCAUUUUUUUAUCACCAUUUUCAACACCAACCUUCUCCCAUCUUAAAAAUAUCAAAGAGCAUCUUUGUUCACAACAAAUGCAUAAUUCUAAUUAGGUUCAGUAUUGUACUACUUGUUUCUUGUACAAUUGAUGCCAUUAAGCAGGAUGUGCUGAGUGGAGAGACCAAUGUUAUUACAGAGACUGGUGAUUCAUGGUUCAAUUGCCAAAGACUUUGUUUGCCAGAGAAGUGUGGUAUGGAUCUAUUGGAUGGUCAGUAGGAGCCACUCUUCAAUAUUCUGAUGCUGUCAAGGAAAGACCUGCUAUUGCUCAAAUAGGUGCAGGAAGUUUCAAGCAGGGCAGCGGAGCAUUGUCUUCAUCAUUAAUAAUGGUGGAUACACCAUUAAAGUAGAGAUCCAUGAUGGACCUUACAAUGAGAUUAAGAACCGGAACUAUACUGGAGUUGUUGGUGCCAUUAACAGCGGGGAAGGCAAGUGUAGUAAUAGCAAGGUGAAGACUGAGGAGGAAUUCAAAGAGGCCAUAGCAAAAGCCACAGGAGAAGAAAAAUUGCUUGUGCUUCAUUGGGGCAAGUGUGCAUAAAGAUGAUCCAAGCAAGAAGAUAUUGAACUGGGGAUCAAAGGUCUCAUCAGCCAACAGUAGAGAAACUUGUAUUCAAGGAUAGAGGAAUGGCCAAUAUGUUGAUAUCGAGGUAUACUUCAAAUAAAUAAUCUGUUCAUGUCGGAGUGUAAGCAUCUAAACAGAAACAAUGCAUGCAGUGUACAAGUGCCAGUGUUACCUUUAAACAUGUGUUUGUCAGGUUUUCCUAUCACUUUCCUGUUGAAUGCAUGUUAGUAACCAUGAGGUCUGCUUGUAAACAGAGAAAGUUGGAUCAGUAAAUGAAACCAUUAUUAAACUGAGUUCCACUGAAACUUAUUAGCAUG